RNAcentral lists this ribosomal RNA (517 nucleotides) under uncultured Staphylococcus sp. RNAcentral's name for it is "bacterial SSU rRNA". It matches the Rfam family "Bacterial small subunit ribosomal RNA", at positions 8 to 507 of the family's 1533-position model. Lineage: Bacteria; Bacillati; Bacillota; Bacilli; Caryophanales; Staphylococcaceae. The record is from RNAcentral.
AGAGUUUGAUCCUGGCUCAGGAUGAACGCUGGCGGCGUGCCUAAUACAUGCAAGUCGAGCGAACAGAUAAGGAGCUUGCUCCUUUGAAGUUAGCGGCGGACGGGUGAGUAACACGUGGGUAACCUACCUAUAAGACUGGGAUAACUUCGGGAAACCGGAGCUAAUACCGGAUAACAUUUAGAACCGCAUGGUUCUAAAGUGAAAGAUGGUUUUGCUAUCACUUAUAGAUGGACCCGCGCCGUAUUAGCUAGUUGGUAAGGUAACGGCUUACCAAGGCGACGAUACGUAGCCGACCUGAGAGGGUGAUCGGCCACACUGGAACUGAGACACGGUCCAGACUCCUACGGGAGGCAGCAGUAGGGAAUCUUCCGCAAUGGGCGAAAGCCUGACGGAGCAACGCCGCGUGAGUGAUGAAGGGUUUCGGCUCUUAAAACUCUGUUAUUAGGGAAGAACAAAUGUGUAAGUAACUGUGCACAUCUUGACGGUACCUAAUCAGAAAGCCACGGCUAACUACGUG